RNAcentral lists this long non-coding RNA (1155 nucleotides) under Setaria italica (foxtail millet). RNAcentral's name for it is "long non-coding RNA (SITA_LNC003555)". The record is from RNAcentral. Lineage: Eukaryota; Viridiplantae; Streptophyta; Magnoliopsida; Poales; Poaceae.
GUAAUGUUGUUGUAAAAAUUUUAGACCUAGCAUAUAUUUUUACUCGGUAAUACUCAGGUUGAUUGACCGGCAGUCCACGAGUGCCCCUGCCCGCUUCUCUUUCUCCACGUGAGUGAGCCCCACUCUUCCGGUGGUUUCUUCCCCAACCAUUCUUUCUCUUUCUCUAUUCUUCUUCGAUGGGUGGCACGCCGGUGGCCUGGCGAGCACUGAAUAUGGCACCGUGUUGUCCCUGUAGUGCUUCCUCGUGAACUCCUUGGCGCCAGGAUCUUGCUGCGGCGCCUGCUGCGGUGGUGGUGGCGGCGGGAGUGGUGGCGGCGGGAGGAACUGCUGGUGUUGGUGAUGGGCCGCGUGGCUCCAGUCGAGCAUGGUGCGACCUCGUGCUGCGGCGGCGCAAGGUGGUGGAAGGCGGUAGUGCGGGAGCCGGGUGAGGGGUGCGAGGCGCCAGAACGGAGGGAGACAACGAGGGAGGAGAAGUUGGCCGGGACGGUGUCGGUGGCAACGAUGAUGGGGGGCUCCGCCUGCUCGAGCAGCCACUCGAUGGUCUUGCCGUCGGUCUUGUUGCCCAGCUCCCGUGUCAGCUAGAGCACCCGGGCGGUGCACAACGCCAGCAUCCGUAUCCGCUGCCCGCGCCCCUCCACCUUGGUAUGCCGGUUCUUGGUGGGCCGCUUCGCCACCAGCCGCACGACCUUCUUCUUCGCGCCACCGGACGAUCUAGGGGGCAUCGUGCCGUGCCGCACCAGUGGCCGUGGCAAGCAGCUCGUGGAGGUCGAGCAGGCGAGCAACGGGCACUUCCCUCAACGCCAUAGCUGCAGCGCGUGGAGGUCAAGCAGCGUGCGGCGGGCGCACCCUUAAUGCCACAAGCUGCCGCAUUGCUAACCAUGACGAGCUCCUCCGCAUGCUCGACGCCAUGGCGAAAUGGAGCAGCAGAAGCUCGCGCCUACUGACGGCUCCAUGUUGCGAUAGGUACCUCCUCGUGUUGCAGUAGAGAUUUUUGGAUGUUGCAAGUGCUAUAGAUGUGCGCGGGUGUUGCAAAUGAAUGUAUCUUUUGACGUUGCACGAUUGAUUUUCUAAGAUGUUUCAAUGUUGCAACAAUUGACUUUUGAUGUUUCAUUUGUUGAUUUUUCGUGUUGCAAUAUUUGUCCCUGUAAGAGCUCA